UACGUAGGGGGCAAGCGUUGUCCGGAUUUAUUGGGCGUAAAGAGCGUGUAGGCGGCUUUUACAGGUCCGUUGUGAAAACUCGAGGCUCAACCUCGAGACGCCGGUGGAAACCGUAAGGCUAGAGUCCGGAAGAGGAGAGUGGAAUUCCUGGUGUAGCGGUGAAAUGCGCAGAUAUCAGGAGGAACACCAUGGCGAAGGCAGCUCGCUGGGGACGGUACUGACGCUGAGACGCGAAAGCGUGGGGUAGCAAACAGG
This 255-nucleotide ribosomal RNA is filed under the name uncultured bacterium. RNAcentral describes it as "partial 16S ribosomal RNA". It matches the Rfam family "Bacterial small subunit ribosomal RNA", at positions 524 to 776 of the family's 1533-position model. The record is from RNAcentral.